Molecule: unclassified non-coding RNA, 1475 nt
Filed under: Hevea brasiliensis (rubber tree)
Lineage: Eukaryota; Viridiplantae; Streptophyta; Magnoliopsida; Malpighiales; Euphorbiaceae
Source: RNAcentral
AUGCAAGCUAAUACUGUAAUUGUGGAAAACUAAGAAACCAAAACUGAAAAUGGAAAACAACAAUAAAAAUGAAGAAAACAAGGAUUGAAUGAGAAACCUGGUUAACAUGUGCUGCAACACAAGGAAGAACUGAGAGUCCAGAUUGACACAGUGCACCACUCAGUUGUUCUGCUACAGCUGACUACAAACAAUUGAAAGAGUUCAGGCAUUCUCAUUCUUUGCAAAAACUGACUCUUUGCCACCAAAUAUAGUUGAUAAGUUUUUUAGAUUAAUGAUGUUAAAAUCCAGUAAAGUGAGAUGAAUGAAUCUGAAAAUAAAAGAAGAUAGAUUCAAUAUUUAAGAAUGGACUUAGUAGAGAAAUUUUUGGCAAUGGAAAGCAACUUGAUAGAAAAUAGUUCCUUUCUGUCUGCAAUAAUACAAAGAAUAUGGGUACGACAAAGAAGAGAACUUAGCAAAACCACAAAAUCAGCAAAAGCAUCAGCUUCCCAAGCACAUUGUUGUGUCCGCAAAGUGUAUGGACACUGGUAAAAGGUAAUAAAUUCACUCAAAAAUACUAUCCUUUGCACAGGAAGUCUAUUUGACAUCUGGCAUAAAUAGUAUUGUCAUUGCAGCACUGUGUUUCUCCAUUUUUUGCAUAUAUUUUCAAGUCUCUUUCCAUUAUGGACUUUGCCACUCCAUGAGAUGAGUCCUUAAAUUAAAUGCACCAACUUUGUAACUUCAAGAUUUUAUUUUGCUGGUACAUUCCCAAUGAUUCUCACAUCUUAAGUCACUCUUUACCCUACUGAUAUGACAAGCAUACAACUCAAUUGAAUGGUAAAAGAUAUUUGUCACUCUGAUUGUUUAUUUAGCCUGACAAGUAGACUUCCAUUCUUAUAGUGCAAGGACCUAGACAGUUUUAUUUUCCCUUCUCCAGAGUAUAAUGUCAUUAAAACGUCUCUGAACAAAAACAAACAUUAGUUGGAGAGUGUUUUAGGCUAUGCCAAAGGUUAAUGAAAUCAGAGUGUACAGUAUAAGCAUAAAUGCAGAGAAGCACAUUAUUGUGGAACACGGAACUGAUCAGAAUUGUGAAAUGCCAUCUUCCCAAAGGCUAACCAUGGAAGUUGCAUACACUAUAGAAAAUUUAAUAAAUUUGAUUGAGAAAUUUUGGUGAAAGCAAGGCACAUUAAAAACUACAUAGAACAAAAGUUCACAUGGUAAUAGUGUGACUUACAUUCCCAUCCCAUUAGCUUCAAUGAACACAUGUGGCUUAACCAUUGAAAGCAAAGGUCUAGAUUUACUUACAUCCAUGGGAUCCAGAACAAUGAAGAAAACAAAUAAUUAUCAGAACAAAUUUGAAAAAAAUAAAGAAGUUAAGAGUAUCCUUUAAUUUAGUCUAGCAAGAAAUUCAACCAUAAACAUGCAGUACUAUUUUUUUAACAUAAAUUAAAUUAUAAUACCAAUAUGAGUCCCAAAAGUACAAGCUACCUGCAACACAU